This 508-nucleotide ribosomal RNA is filed under the name Cerebratulus cf. marginatus 2 MBA-2020. RNAcentral describes it as "partial large subunit ribosomal RNA". It matches the Rfam family "Bacterial large subunit ribosomal RNA", at positions 1829 to 2597 of the family's 2925-position model. The record is from RNAcentral. Lineage: Eukaryota; Metazoa; Nemertea; Pilidiophora; Heteronemertea; Lineidae.
AGCUUGUUGUUUUUUAUAAUAAGUGUUUUCUGCUCAAUGCAAUUGAAGUAAAUGGCCGCGGUACUCUGACCGUGCAAAGGUAGCAUAAUCAUUUGUUCUUUAAUUGGGGACUGGAAUGAAAGAAAGUUCGAGACUAAAGCUGUCUCUUUUCUAUGUUAGAAUUUACUGUUUUUGUGAAGAAGCAAAGGUGUUUAAAAAAGACAAGAAGACCCUUUUAAGCUUUACUUUUUACUUUUCUUGAGUCUUUAUUUAAGUAUUUGUAGAAUUUGGAAAAAAGUUUGGUUGGGGUGACUGAAGAAGAUGGGAUCUUCUUUAGUUUUUUUUAACUUUAAGUUUAAUUUUGACCCAGAAUUUUCUGGUCGAAAGAAUUAGUUACUAAAGGGAUAACAGCGUAAUUUUUUCAGAGAGUUCUUAUUGAAGAAAAAGAUUGCGACCUCGAUGUUGACUUGCUUUUUCCUUUAAGGGUGUAGAAGCUGAGAGGGUUGGUCUGUUCGACCAUUAAAAUAGC